Molecule: unclassified non-coding RNA, 513 nt
Filed under: Fusarium sp. MK1-2020
Lineage: Eukaryota; Fungi; Ascomycota; Sordariomycetes; Hypocreales; Nectriaceae
Description: sequence contains 18S rRNA gene, ITS1, 5.8S rRNA gene, ITS2, 28S rRNA gene
Rfam family: 5.8S ribosomal RNA (bases 207-360)
Source: RNAcentral
AGGAAGUAAAAGUCGUAACAAGGUCUCCGUUGGUGAACCAGCGGAGGGAUCAUUACCGAGUUUACAACUCCCAAACCCCUGUGAACAUACCUUAAUGUUGCCUCGGCGGAUCAGCCCGCUCCCCGUAAAACGGGACGGCCCGCCAGAGGACCCAAACUCUAAUGUUUCUUAUUGUAACUUCUGAGUAAAACAAACAAAUAAAUCAAAACUUUCAACAACGGAUCUCUUGGUUCUGGCAUCGAUGAAGAACGCAGCAAAAUGCGAUAAGUAAUGUGAAUUGCAGAAUUCAGUGAAUCAUCGAAUCUUUGAACGCACAUUGCGCCCGCUGGUAUUCCGGCGGGCAUGCCUGUUCGAGCGUCAUUUCAACCCUCAAGCCCCCGGGUUUGGUGUUGGGGAUCGGCUCUGCCUCACGGCGGUGCCGCCCCCGAAAUACAUUGGCGGUCUCGCUGCAGCCUCCAUUGCGUAGUAGCUAACACCUCGCAACUGGAACGCGGCGCGGCCAUGCCGUAAAAC